UGUUACUCUGAAGAGAAAGCAUUUGAAGAGAAGUCAAGUUUCCAAUUACAAGAGGAAUUUCACCUGAAACAUAUAAUUAAAUCAGUAAAAAUUAUAAAUAUUUUCCUAGCAAAACCUUAAUUUAUUUGUUGAGCAUAUUAGUGUCCAUUUGAUUUAUUUAUUUUUAAAUAUGCAAGUUUUGUUUAAUUUUAUAGUACUUAUGACAACCCAAAAAUAUUUUAAUUACAAUACUCAAAUUGAUAGUUGAAAUGAUGAUGAAAAUUAGAUGGAAUAAAAUAGUUCACGCUUAAUAUUUUUUUUCAAAUAUAGGAUACAUUAGAGGUGAUUAUGCGUCGGGUUCAGGCCGGCUGACUAAGUCAAAAUUUUAGGCCCGUUUUCCCGAGCCCGAAAUAUGGGCCUAAAAAUUUGUCCAAGCCCAGUCCAAAAGAAAAUUGCUAAGCCGAGCUCGACCCUGCCCUGCCCAUAUUAAAUUUUACAACACCAAAAUAGCAUCAAAAACUUGCAAAAAAUAUAUAUAUUUUAUUAAAAAUAAAAAUAUAUAUUUAAUAUAUAAUUCGGGCUAGACUUAGGCCAAAAAAAUUUUACCCGAAGCCCGGCUCAUUUUAUAAAAUUUCCAAUUUCUGUAGGUAUACUUCCUUCCAAGGAGUUGCUCGACAAUGAUAAAAACUUCAAAUCUUUGCACUUGAAUAAACUAUUUGGAAUUCUACCGGAAAUUUGAUUCCAACUCAAGCCCAACCUUUCUAGUUUUGACAAAUUGCCUAGAGUAGAUGGGAUAACACCAAUGAAGUUGUUAAGGUACAGAGACAAUCUUUGAAGUUUACUAAAGCAACCAAACCAUGAUGGGAUUUCUCCAUUGAAGCUAUUGUUACCAAAGUCCAAAUACUUCAUCCGACGCAAAUUGGUUAACUCAAUGGGUAAAGAGCCAUGGAAACUAUUUUGAUGAAUGUCGAGCCAAGCAAGGAAAGAUAGAUUUCCCAAUUGAGAAGAAAUGGUGCCUGUGAGAUCCAUGCUUGAUAAAUUCAGAGCAGUGACUCUAUGGUGUCUAGAUCCACAUGUGACACCAAUCCAGCUACAAACGGAGGUAGAAGUAGACCAAUUGGUUGUCAAGAAAUUGUAAGGAUCAUGAGUUAUAUGAGAUUUGAGUGCUAGAAAAGCAGAUUGAUCAACGGUGAUGCUAGAAUAUUUUGCAGACAAAAUAACCCCAAAGGUUGCAAAUAGCAGCCCAAACAUAAACGGAGGGAGGAAGACGGUGAUAGUCUCCAAGAGAAAGAGACAAGCAAGGAGGGUGAAGGCAAAGUGGCAAACAAUACAUUAAUUACAUAUUUAUUUUUGCAUAUCUCAUUUUAUUUACUGUCACUAGACACUUUUUAUAUAUAUAAAUUAUUAAAUAUUAAAUUUCAUAUAUAAAAAAAUCCACAUAUUACUUAUUUUAUUAAUACAUAAACAGUAAAUCGUUUAGAUGAUUUCAAGUUAAAAAAAUUAUAUAUUUUAGAUUUUAUAUGGAUUCUUUUUAAGUUCAAUAUUCAAAUUAUUCAGAUUUUCCAUCAUCAAAGUUGAAUAGUUUGUAAUUCAAAUUAUUGCUCUCUUUUUACUUGUACCAAUAUUUCCUAUAUUUUUCUUAUGUUAAAAUAGUCAAAGUAUUAAAGAUAUAAUUAAUUGGAGAGAAGUCAAAAGCUAAUUAAUAAUAUAUAGGGAUUGCAUAAAUGUAACAACAAAAAGAAAAAAAAAAUCAAAGCUACUUCAUGGUUGUAUUUUGUGAGGCUGUGGAAGUUGAAAGAGUAAUAAUUUUAAGCUGUCUAAGGAAAAUAUUAAACUAAAACUUUAGUAGAGUUUAAUUAUAUAUAUUAUAUUUUAAUUUUUUAAUAAAAGUACAUAUUUUAAAUCAAAAAUAUUUUAAUCAAAUCAUCUGUAUUAGUUUUGAAGUUCAGGAUUAUAUAUAUAACAUAUAUAUUGAUUGAGUGUAUAACUUCAACUUCAAAAAGAUAUUUUAAUCAAUCAAUUUUAUUAGUUUUCGAGUUUAGGCUUAUAUAUAAUAUAUAUGUCGAGUUAGAAAUACUACAAAAGGUUGACAUUUUUUAAAAGUAUGAUAAUUUGAAUAGAAGUAACAUAUGCUAAUGUAGAGUAAUUGUUCCAUAUAAUCCUUUUUAUGAUGAAAUGAUUGCUUCAUAACUUCUUACACUUAGACAUAAUAAUGAGGUUUUAAUCUUUUAAGGUAACUUUUAUUUUAUUUACUUAAAAAAUUGCAUAAAUUUAAUAAAAAAAAGAAGAAUAAAAGAAACAUGAAAUUAUACCUGUCAAUUUGUUAUUGCUAAGAUGAAGAAAUUGGAGAGAAGUCAAUUUUUCAAUAACAAGAGGAAUUUCACCUGAAACGUAUAAUUAAAUCGGUCAAAAUUUGCAAAUAUUUUCCUACCAAACCCUUAAUUUAUUUGUUGAGCAUAUUAACGUUUGUUUCAUUUACCUAUUUUUAAAUAUGCAAGUUUAGUUUAGUCUUAUAGUACUUAUGAUAACCCAAAAAUAUUUUAAUUAUAAUACUCAAAUUAACAAUAAAAUUAAAAAAAUAUUUAUCUUUGUGCUAGAAAAAAAACACCGCAUAGAUCAUAAAAAGGAAAAACUAAAACAUCCAAAAGAAUAUGUCAAACACUAAACACAAAAUUCAUAGUUGUAGAGGAGAAUUAGAUACAUUGGUCCCAUAAUAUGUCACUCAAAAUCUCAAAUUCAUCCAACAAAAAGAAAUCAUCACUUUAGUUAAUUAAAUCAAGAACAAAUAAAGUUAUGGAUGAACAAAUAUGGGAAGCAAAGAAAUGUGAUGGAUCAAAAGGGACGGAUAAGCUAAUUUCUGCCAUAAGGUAGAUGGUGAACUUAGGAUGUGGAGUUUCAAUAAAUACCUAAAAAUACCUAAACUUUUGGCAAUUCAAAUAGAUUAUACUAAUUUUUAAUUACUUAAAAAUAUUGCAUAAAUUUAAUAACAAAAAGGAGAAUAAAAGAAACAUGAAAUUAUACCUGUCAAUUUGUUAUUGUCAAGAAAAAGCUCUCGAAGAGAAGUCAAGUUUCCAAUAACAAGAGGAAUUUUACCUGAAACAUAUAAUUAAAUCAAUAAAUAUAUAAUUAUUUUUAUUAAUUAUUUUAAGAGUUUAAUAAGGCAAAUCUAAAAGGUAGAAGAAAUAGCUAAUUAGAAGUAGUGUGUGAUUCAAAAGGGUAUAAAGUAGGUCCAAAUUAAAAAUCAAAUUUUAAAAUAAUUUAAUGUAAAAUUUAACUCUUUUCUUAUCACCAAAUAAAUUUACUUUCAGAGAAAUUACAAGUUUUAAUAAAAUAGUUGAAAUAAGUGACUGUUUAUGACUAGGUGAAAAUUAGAUGAAAAAAACAUAUAAUUAAUAAUUUAUAUAUCUAUUUCUCUCAUACUUGAACUAUGGUCGAGCAAAAAUUAAUAAAAAAAUCAAACGGAUAGAAAUAGCUUAGUUAGAAGUUUGCAUAUCUCAUUUUAUUUACUCUCACUAGACAUUUAAUCUUUUAAGGUAACUUUUAUUUUAUUUACUUAAAAAAUUGCAUAAAUUUAAUUAAAAAAAAGGAGAGUAAAAGAAACAUGGAAUUAUAUUGUCAAUUUGUUAUAGCUAAGAUAAAGUGAUUGGAGAGAAGUUAAGUUUCCAAUAACAAGAGGAAUUUCACUUGAAACGUAUAAUUAAAUCGGUCAAAAUUUGCAAAUAUUUUCCUACCAAGCCCUUAAUUUAUUUGUUGAGCAUAUUAGUGUCUGUUUCAUUUACCUAUUUUUAAAUAUGCAAAUUUAGUUUAGUCUUAUAGUAAUAUGAGUAAUAUUGGGCUCCAACCACAGUACACGGUAAAAAAUGAAAGCCAGAAAAAUGCAAGACUGCAUGUCUACACCAUAUUAUUUUUAUAAAUAAAAGAGUAAUUUCUCUAUAUAAAUAAAUGAGUUGGGUUGGAUUUCAUUUAAUUGAAAAUGAGUUGGAUUGGCUGAUUAUUUGAUUUUGGGUUAAAUGAAAAUCAACUUCUGCCUGGAUGUAGGUAUUGGGUUUAAUGUAACUUAUAUAAAGAGUUUAGUAUGUCGCUUUAUUUGACUUAUUUGGUUUGGACACUCAAAUUUGAAAUUGAUCAAUUAAACCAAUAGAAAUGAGUCUCAACUAAAUAAAGUGAAAACUCAACUAAAUAGAAUUGGAUUAAAGUGAUUCAAUUAAUCAAGUUUUCACAUACUUAUAACCAUCGUGAUUCAUUCAUAUUAUUAUUCUCAUACUAUAUUCAUGUUAAGUUGAUGUAUUUGGAAAGAUCGAAGCUUUUUUCUAUUUUAGGGUGUCUCUUGGAGCACAGGUGAGAUUAUUAAGAUAUUAUAUAUUUUGGAGUGUGAAAUUUAUUGAAUCAUUUAGAAUAAGAAUCAAAUUGAUAGAAUGUGUAAGUAUUAAGAAAUAAACGUGUUAUUAUUCUAGUUGGAAAAGGCAACAUCAUCACUUCCGUUAACUAUUUAACGGAGAGUGACCAAAAUAGAAACAAUCUAAAGUGUGAGUGACCAAAAUAGAAAUAAUAUAAAAUGUAAGUGACUAAAUAAAAAAAAUUCAUAGUUGGGUGACUAAUUCUAUAGUAAUUUACCCUAGAUGGUAGAAGCAAUUAGGAUUAAUUCCACCAAACAUCUCAAACUAUUACUCAUAUUUUAAAUUGAACCCUAAACUUUUACACAUUCUAAUUAAAUUACUCAAAUAGAAUGUGAUAAUGUAUUAUGCUAUUAUUCAUCGAUAGUGCAUAGAAUUUAUGUACUAACAAUGCAUCAAAUAUUCUCAUUAAAAGAAAAUGUAUAAAAUAAGUUUUAUACCAUCUAUAAUUUGUAAAAAAAAAAUUAUCCAAUAAAAAAUAUAAAAAUACAUCUAUAAUUUCACAAAAAGAAUUACAUAUCUAUAAUAUCUUUUUAUAAAUUCAAUUCCAAAUCUCCUGUAAUAAAUCAACCUCACAAAUCUGAUUGAGGUUAAAAAGAAAGAAUGCAUGUAUUGUGCAAUUAAAACCAUGAUCCAUAUUCAGUUCUAAAGUAUUGAACAUAUAAUUUUGCAUUAUUUUACCUCCCUUGAUUCUUCACAAACUCUUGGGGAAUAAAGACAGUCUUUACAAACCAGUGCACCUCUCAUAAACAGAUCAGGGACAAUUGCCAUGAGAGAGGACCUAAGAAAACAUAAUACAAACUACAUAACAUACAAUCAAGCACCCACACAAAAUGUUUAUUAAACAGCUACAGAAAAAGGCCUGCAUACCACCAAGCAAUGAGGUUUUCUGUUCUGUUUGCAACUUGUUGAACUCGCCCAAGUGUUGCCUUCUCUACCUUUUUGCAAAUCUUUGUCGGACUCGCUCCACGAUCCUAAUCAACCACCAUGGUUUUCCAGUCGUGAAUACAAUGUAUGCCAUGCUCAUUCCCAGCACCAACCCACAUCCAUACCCCAUCAAUAUUGAAAAUUUCCAAUUCAAUUCAUCACCAUCAUCAUCUCUAUCAAAUUUGGCUGGAGUUUCCUCAUCAGUACCACAGUUUUUUGAUAAUGGAAAACCACAUAAAUCCGAAUUUCCCAUGUAGGAAUCUUUAGUAAAAGUAUCAAAUUGUUUGCCUUGAGGAAUGGGUCCCUUGAGAUUAUUUUGAGAAAGGUUUAACACCUCUAAGAAUCCAAGAUUUUUUAACUCUGUUGGAAUUCUUCCUUCCAGCUUAUUUGAUGAGAGAUCUAAUGAUUCAAGCUCUGACAAAUUACCUAAAGAUGAUGGGAUAGGACCUAUUAAACAGUUAUGGGAGAGGUUUAGGACAAGAAGUAAAUGAAGCUCACCAAGUAUUUUUGGAAUUUCUCCCCUAAAUUGGUUACUAGAAAGGUCAAUAACCGUCCAAAUGGAUAAUAGUGAUUCAAACUUUAUUUCCAGCCCUUUUGCUGUAACAGAUAAACCAGAAGCAUAAUCCACCCAAAAUACACCAAAUGCAUCUUUCGUGGGCUUUACUUCUCUCAUGUAAUUUGGUUCAACAUUCUUUCCAUACUCAUCUCUAAUGGCAUGCAUAUGCUCAAAAAAAGGAGUAGGUAAGUAGCCACUAAAAUUAUUGUGAUAAAGAUCAAUGAUUCGCAAUUUAGUUAAAGAAACUGUAAUAUCAAAGCUCUCUAUUUGGCCGUAAAAUCUAUUCGACCUCAAGAUAAGAACUUGCAGCUGAUCCAAAUUUCCUAACCAACUUGGGAAAGUGUCAUUCAAAUUGUUGUUUCCAACAUUGAGAAGAUUUAAACCUUUGCAAUUACCCAAGGAUCGUGGUAGUGACCCUUCUAAUUCAUUGUUGUUGAUGCCUAAACUUCUCAACAUGCAACCUUUAGCAAAAUUUUCUGGUAUUUGACCAUGAAAAUUAUUAUUCCCUAGAUCAACUGCUGUGAGAGAAGAACUCAUGUUUCCGAUGCACUUUGGAAUUGUUCCCUCCAAAUUAUUCUCAUCUAAAGCCAUAACCUUAAGGGAAGUCAAAUUGCAUACUGAAGAAGGGAUUUCUCCAAUUAAGUUAUUAGUUGAAACUGCAUACCAUUGCAAUAAAGGUGGUGGUGUUGGAAUUCGACCUUAGAGAUAAAAUUGAAAAUGAGAUAUUAGGAGUUUGAAGAUUCUUUGGAAUAUAAAUUAUAAAAUAACUAUAUUUAUGAUGUAUUACAUGCUUGAUUAAUUUACUACACUACUUCUAACCAUUUUUACAUGCAUCACAACAACCUUUAAGUUGUAAUCUAUUGAAGGAAACUACUACUAUCUUCCAGAGAAACUUAAAAGUAAAAAGGGAUUGCAUAAAUGUAUAAAAAUAGAAGGAAAAAAAAUAUCAAACUAUACUUAAUAGUUUAUUAUAAAAGAGAUAACCAUUUAAUAUCUAACUUAUAUUUCAUUUUUUUAGUGUUUAUUAUUAUUUUUUGUACUUUUAUGUAUAUUUUAUAAUUUAUUAUUGGGGUUCACGGUUGUUAUUGUCAAGAAUAUCUUGAAUCUAUUAUAGAUGUAGAUUAUAAAUUGUAGACAAAUAUUUUGGUUGGGUUAGCAAAGCUAAAAAAGUUGAGAAUAAUAAAUUUUUAAAAUUUUAAAUUUAAGGUGAAAAAUUAAAUCCUAAUUGUUUAAAUAUCUAUAUGUAAUUAGUGAAUAAGAAUUGCGCAGAAUGGCGUAAAAGAAAAAUAAAAUGAAAGAAUUUAAAAUAUAAUUUUUAAGUUUAUAUCACGUGUCCUAUUAUAAUUGAAACUUAUUAUGGAAUUCACUAUUACUGACUUGAAGCUCGAGUAGGUUCAAGUUAUUGACCCACAACCCAAGUAGACUUAAAGGAAUUUGGGUCGGGCCCCACAAAGUGGGCAUAUUGGAGUUCGCACAUCCAAUUCGUAGGUAUGCUAGAGCUCGUAGGCCUAGCUUACAAGACAAGCCCGCACAUUGAGUUCACACGUCUCUAUAUGAUCGCAAGGAGAGGUGCUAAGUCAAGCACGUGGUCCAUGAACAUGUGUUAAGUCUAGAACAAGAUACGUGUUAACAUACAUGAAGCUUGUCUAAGACGUCAUUUCAGUGAGUGUGGUGCAAUAAGUGUGGUCAAACUUUCGAUUGACCAUAGUAGACACAAAGAGAAAAUACUCAACAAUUUGGUGCAGUGAGUGUGGUCAAACUUUCGAUUGACAGAUUUUUAGCUUGUAACAAUCAAAAUAGCUCACCCAAAUUAAAAUUUCCCCAUCAAUGUUUUGUCAGGAUAAGUUGCUAGUAUUAUAUUGUUGCUAGUAUUAUACAAAACAAAAAGUCAAAAAGUGAGAGAAAACCCAGUCAUCAGCACACCAAAACUCGUUAAGUCAAUCAUAGUUGCUAGUAUUAUAUUGUAUCUUCUUACAUCGAGAGAUAAGGUAGGUGAGAAAGGGAGAUAAAAGACGGUGAGCUUGGAUGGGACAUUAAGGGGGAAGAGAGGAAAAAAUGUUAUGUGUCUAAUUAUUUCUAGUGUUUGAACCGUUUUGAGUCAUAUCUAUCUUGGAACUCAUACCGUCCUAAGCCUUAGAACAUUACAAGCUUAGAAGACCAAUGUGUUUCCUAUGCAAUAAUAUCAACUAUGGCUUAGCAACAACUAAAUCAAGACAUAAACAAUAAGGCAAAUCUAAAAGGUAAAAAGGAAUAGCUAAUUAAAAGUAGUGUGUGAUUCAAAAGGUAGACGGUGAACUUAGGAUGUGGAGUUCCAAUAAAUACCUAAACUUUUGGCAAUUCAAAUAGUUUCUUUAUAAAAGUUUGUAAAUAUUUGAGUCUUAUUCGUAUUAAGAAAUACAUAAUUUUAAGCGGUCUAAUAAUGAAAAUAUUAUAUUAAGCUUUAGUAGAGUUUAAUUAUAUAUAUUAUAAGAAUAGUCUUCCGUGUAUUUAUCCAUUUAAUUUAAUUUUUUUAUUUUGGUCCCUUGGAACGGUUGGAACGGUGCGUUUAGGGGGUAUGUGGAUAAUUUCCUAGUUGGUCCCUGUCCAUUUUCACGCAUUUAAUUUUAGUCCUUUAUUCUGUUUUAUUGUUUAAUUUAUUUAUUUUAUUAUGAUUUAUACUUUUAAUUUCACUUAAAUUUUGAUUCAGUCCCUUAUUUAUUUAAUUUCAGCCUUUCAUGAAUUUUAUUUAUUUAUUACUUCUUUAUUUUCAUAUACUUAAAAAUUGGAUUGUUUACAUUCUUUUAUUUGUGCAUUUUUUUGCUCAUUUAUUUUAUUUACUUAAAAAGAUUGCAUAAAUUUAAUAACAAAAAGGAGAAUAAAAGAAAUGAAAUUAUACCUGUCAAUUUGUUACUCUGAAGAGAAAGCAUUUGAAGAGAAGUCAAGUUUCCAAUUACAAGAGGAAUUUCACCUGAAACAUAUAAUUAAAUCAGUAAAAAUUAUAAAUAUUUUCCUAGCAAAACCUUAAUUUAUUUGUUGAGCAUAUUAGUGUCCAUUUGAUUUAUUUAUUUUUAAAUAUGCAAGUUUUGUUUAAUUUUAUAGUACUUAUGACAACCCAAAAAUAUUUUAAUUACAAUACUCAAAUUGAUAGUUGAAAUGAUGAUGAAAAUUAGAUGGAAUAAAAUAGUUCACGCUUAAUAUUUUUUUUCAAAUAUAGGAUACAUUAGAGGUGAUUAUGGGUCGGGUUCGGGUCGGCUGACUAAGUCAAAAUUUUAGGCCCGUUUUCCCGAGCCCGAAAUAUGGGCCUAAAAAUUUGUCCAAGCCCAGCCCAAAAGAAAAUUGCUAAGCCGAGCCCGACCCUGCCUUGCCCAUAUUAAAUUUUACAACACCAAAAUAGCAUCAAAAACUUGCAAAAAAUAUAUAUAUUUUAUUAAAAAUAAAAAUAUAUAUUUAAUAUAUAAUUCGGGCCAGACUUGGGCCAAAAAAGUUUUACCCGAAGCCCGGCUCAUUUUAUAAAAUUUCCAAUUUCUGUAGGUAUACUUCCCUCCAAGGAGUUGCUCGACAAUGAUAAAAACUUCAAAUCUUUGCACUUGAAUAAACUAUUUGGAAUUCUACCGGAAAUUUGAUUCCAACUCAAGCCCAACCUUUCUAGUUUUGACAAAUUGCCUAGAGUAGAUGGGAUAACACCAAUGAAGUUGUUAAGGUACAGAGACAAUCUUUGAAGUUUACUAAAGCAACCAAACCAUGAUGGGAUUUCUCCAUUGAAGCUAUUGUUACCAAAGUCCAAAUACUUCAUCCGACGCAAAUUGGUUAACUCAAUGGGUAAAGAGCCAUGGAAACUAUUUUGAUGAAUGUCGAGCCAAGCAAGGAAAGAUAGAUUUCCCAAUUGAGAAGAAAUGGUGCCUGUGAGAUCCAUGCUUGAUAAAUUCAGAGCAGUGACUCUAUGGUGUCUAGAUCCACAUGUGACACCAAUCCAGCUACAAACGGAGGUAGAAGUAGACCAAUUGGUUGUCAAGAAAUUGUAAGGAUCAUGAGUUAUAUGAGAUUUGAGUGCUAGAAAAGCAGAUUGAUCAACGGUGAUGCUAGAAUAUUUUGCAGACAAAAUAACCCCAAAGGUUGCAAAUAGCAGCCCAAACAUAAACGGAGGGAGGAAGACGGUGAUAGUCUCCAAGAGAAAGAGACAAGCAAGGAGGGUGAAGGCAAAGUGGCAAACAAUACAUUCAUUACAUAUUUAUUUUUGCAUAUCUCAUUUUAUUUACUGUCACUAGACACUUUUUAUAUAUAUAAAUUAUUAAAUAUUAAAUUUCAUAUAUAAAAAAAUCCACAUAUUACUUAUUUUAUUAAUACAUAAACAGUAAAUCGUUUAGAUGAUUUCAAGUUAAAAAAAUUAUAUAUUUUAGAUUUUAUAUGGAUUCUUUUUAAGUUCAAUAUUCAAAUUAUUCAGAUUUUCCAUCAUCAAAGUUGAAUAGUUUGUAAUUCAAAUUAUUGCUCUCUUUUUACUUGUACCAAUAUUUCCUAUAUUUUUCUUAUGUUAAAAUAGUCAAAGUAUUAAAGAUAUAAUUAAUUGGAGAGAAGUCAAAAGCUAAUUAAUAAUAUAUAGGGAUUGCAUAAAUGUAACAACAAAAAGAAAAAAAAAAAUCAAAGCUACUUCAUGGUUGUAUUUUGUGAGGCUGUGGAAGUUGAAAGAGUAAUAAUUUUAAGCUGUCUAAGGAAAAUAUUAAACUAAAACUUUAGUAGAGUUUAAUUAUAUAUAUUAUAUUUUAAUUUUUUAAUAAAAGUACAUAUUUUAAAUCAAAAAUAUUUUAAUCAAAUCAUCUGUAUUAGUUUUGAAGUUCAGGAUUAUAUAUAUAACAUAUAUAUUGAUUGAGUGUAUAACUUCAACUUCAAAAAGAUAUUUUAAUCAAUCAAUUUUAUUAGUUUUCGAGUUUAGGCUUAUAUAUAAUAUAUAUGUCGAGUUAGAAAUACUACAAAAGGUUGACAUUUUUUAAAAGUAUGAUAAUUUGAAUAGAAGUAACAUAUGCUAAUGUAGAGUAAUUGUUCCAUAUAAUCCUUUUUAUGAUGAAAUGAUUGCUUCAUAACUUCUUACACUUAGACAUAAUAAUGAGGUUUUAAUCUUUUAAGGUAACUUUUAUUUUAUUUACUUAAAAAAUUGCAUAAAUUUAAUAAAAAAAAGAAGAAUAAAAGAAACAUGAAAUUAUACCUGUCAAUUUGUUAUUGCUAAGAUGAAGAAAUUGGAGAGAAGUCAAUUUUUCAAUAACAAGAGGAAUUUCACCUGAAACGUAUAAUUAAAUCGGUCAAAAUUUGCAAAUAUUUUCCUACCAAACCCUUAAUUUAUUUGUUGAGCAUAUUAACGUUUGUUUCAUUUACCUAUUUUUAAAUAUGCAAGUUUAGUUUAGUCUUAUAGUACUUAUGAUAACCCAAAAAUAUUUUAAUUAUAAUACUCAAAUUAACAAUAAAAUUAAAAAAAUAUUUAUCUUUGUGCUAGAAAAAAAACACCGCAUAGAUCAUAAAAAGGAAAAACUAAAACAUCCAAAAGAAUAUGUCAAACACUAAACACAAAAUUCAUAGUUGUAGAGGAGAAUUAGAUACAUUGGUCCCAUAAUAUGUCACUCAAAAUCUCAAAUUCAUCCAACAAAAAGAAAUCAUCACUUUAGUUAAUUAAAUCAAGAACAAAUAAAGUUAUGGAUGAACAAAUAUGGGAAGCAAAGAAAUGUGAUGGAUCAAAAGGGACGGAUAAGCUAAUUUCUGCCAUAAGGUAGAUGGUGAACUUAGGAUGUGGAGUUUCAAUAAAUACCUAAAAAUACCUAAACUUUUGGCAAUUCAAAUAGAUUAUACUAAUUUUUAAUUACUUAAAAAUAUUGCAUAAAUUUAAUAACAAAAAGGAGAAUAAAAGAAACAUGAAAUUAUACCUGUCAAUUUGUUAUUGUCAAGAAAAAGCUCUCGAAGAGAAGUCAAGUUUCCAAUAACAAGAGGAAUUUUACCUGAAACAUAUAAUUAAAUCAAUAAAUAUAUAAUUAUUUUUAUUAAUUAUUUUAAGAGUUUAAUAAGGCAAAUCUAAAAGGUAGAAGAAAUAGCUAAUUAGAAGUAGUGUGUGAUUCAAAAGGGUAUAAAGUAGGUCCAAAUUAAAAAUCAAAUUUUAAAAUAAUUUAAUGUAAAAUUUAACUCUUUUCUUAUCACCAAAUAAAUUUACUUUCAGAGAAAUUACAAGUUUUAAUAAAAUAGUUGAAAUAAGUGACUGUUUAUGACUAGGUGAAAAUUAGAUGAAAAAAACAUAUAAUUAAUAAUUUAUAUAUCUAUUUCUCUCAUACUUGAACUAUGGUCGAGCAAAAAUUAAUAAAAAAAUCAAACGGAUAGAAAUAGCUUAGUUAGAAGUUUGCAUAUCUCAUUUUAUUUACUCUCACUAGACAUUUAAUCUUUUAAGGUAACUUUUAUUUUAUUUACUUAAAAAAUUGCAUAAAUUUAAUUAAAAAAAAAGGAGAGUAAAAGAAACAUGGAAUUAUAUUGUCAAUUUGUUAUAGCUAAGAUAAAGUGAUUGGAGAGAAGUUAAGUUUCCAAUAACAAGAGGAAUUUCACUUGAAACGUAUAAUUAAAUCGGUCAAAAUUUGCAAAUAUUUUCCUACCAAGCCCUUAAUUUAUUUGUUGAGCAUAUUAGUGUCUGUUUCAUUUACCUAUUUUUAAAUAUGCAAAUUUAGUUUAGUCUUAUAGUAAUAUGAGUAAUAUUGGGCUCCAACCACAGUACACGGUAAAAAAUGAAAGCCAGAAAAAUGCAAGACUGCAUGUCUACACCAUAUUAUUUUUAUAAAUAAAAGAGUAAUUUCUCUAUAUAAAUAAAUGAGUUGGGUUGGAUUUCAUUUAAUUGAAAAUGAGUUGGAUUGGCUGAUUAUUUGAUUUUGGGUUAAAUGAAAAUCAACUUCUGCCUGGAUGUAGGUAUUGGGUUUAAUGUAACUUAUAUAAAGAGUUUAGUAUGUCGCUUUAUUUGACUUAUUUGGUUUGGACACUCAAAUUUGAAAUUGAUCAAUUAAACCAAUAGAAAUGAGUCUCAACUAAAUAAAGUGAAAACUCAACUAAAUAGAAUUGGAUUAAAGUGAUUCAAUUAAUCAAGUUUUCACAUACUUAUAACCAUCGUGAUUCAUUCAUAUUAUUAUUCUCAUACUAUAUUCAUGUUAAGUUGAUGUAUUUGGAAAGAUCGAAGCUUUUUUCUAUUUUAGGGUGUCUCUUGGAGCACAGGUGAGAUUAUUAAGAUAUUAUAUAUUUUGGAGUGUGAAAUUUAUUGAAUCAUUUAGAAUAAGAAUCAAAUUGAUAGAAUGUGUAAGUAUUAAGAAAUAAACGUGUUAUUAUUCUAGUUGGAAAAGGCAACAUCAUCACUUCCGUUAACUAUUUAACGGAGAGUGACCAAAAUAGAAACAAUCUAAAGUGUGAGUGACCAAAAUAGAAAUAAUAUAAAAUGUAAGUGACUAAAUAAAAAAAAUUCAUAGUUGGGUGACUAAUUCUAUAGUAAUUUACCCUAGAUGGUAGAAGCAAUUAGGAUUAAUUCCACCAAACAUCUCAAACUAUUACUCAUAUUUUAAAUUGAACCCUAAACUUUUACACAUUCUAAUUAAAUUACUCAAAUAGAAUGUGAUAAUGUAUUAUGCUAUUAUUCAUCGAUAGUGCAUAGAAUUUAUGUACUAACAAUGCAUCAAAUAUUCUCAUUAAAAGAAAAUGUAUAAAAUAAGUUUUAUACCAUCUAUAAUUUGUAAAAAAAAAAUUAUCCAAUAAAAAAUAUAAAAAUACAUCUAUAAUUUCACAAAAAGAAUUACAUAUCUAUAAUAUCUUUUUAUAAAUUCAAUUCCAAAUCUCCUGUAAUAAAUCAACCUCACAAAUCUGAUUGAGGUUAAAAAGAAAGAAUGCAUGUAUUGUGCAAUUAAAACCAUGAUCCAUAUUCAGUUCUAAAGUAUUGAACAUAUAAUUUUGCAUUAUUUUACCUCCCUUGAUUCUUCACAAACUCUUGGGGAAUAAAGACAGUCUUUACAAACCAGUGCACCUCUCAUAAACAGAUCAGGGACAAUUGCCAUGAGAGAGGACCUAAGAAAACAUAAUACAAACUACAUAACAUACAAUCAAGCACCCACACAAAAUGUUUAUUAAACAGCUACAGAAAAAGGCCUGCAUACCACCAAGCAAUGAGGUUUUCUGUUCUGUUUGCAACUUGUUGAACUCGCCCAAGUGUUGCCUUCUCUACCUUUUUGCAAAUCUUUGUCGGACUCGCUCCACGAUCCUAAUCAACCACCAUGGUUUUCCAGUCGUGAAUACAAUGUAUGCCAUGCUCAUUCCCAGCACCAACCCACAUCCAUACCCCAUCAAUAUUGAAAAUUUCCAAUUCAAUUCAUCACCAUCAUCAUCUCUAUCAAAUUUGGCUGGAGUUUCCUCAUCAGUACCACAGUUUUUUGAUAAUGGAAAACCACAUAAAUCCGAAUUUCCCAUGUAGGAAUCUUUAGUAAAAGUAUCAAAUUGUUUGCCUUGAGGAAUGGGUCCCUUGAGAUUAUUUUGAGAAAGGUUUAACACCUCUAAGAAUCCAAGAUUUUUUAACUCUGUUGGAAUUCUUCCUUCCAGCUUAUUUGAUGAGAGAUCUAAUGAUUCAAGCUCUGACAAAUUACCUAAAGAUGAUGGGAUAGGACCUAUUAAACAGUUAUGGGAGAGGUUUAGGACAAGAAGUAAAUGAAGCUCACCAAGUAUUUUUGGAAUUUCUCCCCUAAAUUGGUUACUAGAAAGGUCAAUAACCGUCCAAAUGGAUAAUAGUGAUUCAAACUUUAUUUCCAGCCCUUUUGCUGUAACAGAUAAACCAGAAGCAUAAUCCACCCAAAAUACACCAAAUGCAUCUUUCGUGGGCUUUACUUCUCUCAUGUAAUUUGGUUCAACAUUCUUUCCAUACUCAUCUCUAAUGGCAUGCAUAUGCUCAAAAAAAGGAGUAGGUAAGUAGCCACUAAAAUUAUUGUGAUAAAGAUCAAUGAUUCGCAAUUUAGUUAAAGAAACUGUAAUAUCAAAGCUCUCUAUUUGGCCGUAAAAUCUAUUCGACCUCAAGAUAAGAACUUGCAGCUGAUCCAAAUUUCCUAACCAACUUGGGAAAGUGUCAUUCAAAUUGUUGUUUCCAACAUUGAGAAGAUUUAAACCUUUGCAAUUACCCAAGGAUCGUGGUAGUGACCCUUCUAAUUCAUUGUUGUUGAUGCCUAAACUUCUCAACAUGCAACCUUUAGCAAAAUUUUCUGGUAUUUGACCAUGAAAAUUAUUAUUCCCUAGAUCAACUGCUGUGAGAGAAGAACUCAUGUUUCCGAUGCACUUUGGAAUUGUUCCCUCCAAAUUAUUCUCAUCUAAAGCCAUAACCUUAAGGGAAGUCAAAUUGCAUACUGAAGAAGGGAUUUCUCCAAUUAAGUUAUUAGUUGAAACUGCAUACCAUUGCAAUAAAGGUGGUGGUGUUGGAAUUCGACCUUAGAGAUAAAAUUGAAAAUGAGAUAUUAGGAGUUUGAAGAUUCUUUGGAAUAUAAAUUAUAAAAUAACUAUAUUUAUGAUGUAUUACAUGCUUGAUUAAUUUACUACACUACUUCUAACCAUUUUUACAUGCAUCACAACAACCUUUAAGUUGUAAUCUAUUGAAGGAAACUACUACUAUCUUCCAGAGAAACUUAAAAGUAAAAAGGGAUUGCAUAAAUGUAUAAAAAUAGAAGGAAAAAAAAUAUCAAACUAUACUUAAUAGUUUAUUAUAAAAGAGAUAACCAUUUAAUAUCUAACUUAUAUUUCAUUUUUUUAGUGUUUAUUAUUAUUUUUUGUACUUUUAUGUAUAUUUUAUAAUUUAUUAUUGGGGUUCACGGUUGUUAUUGUCAAGAAUAUCUUGAAUCUAUUAUAGAUGUAGAUUAUAAAUUGUAGACAAAUAUUUUGGUUGGGUUAGCAAAGCUAAAAAAGUUGAGAAUAAUAAAUUUUUAAAAUUUUAAAUUUAAGGUGAAAAAUUAAAUCCUAAUUGUUUAAAUAUCUAUAUGUAAUUAGUGAAUAAGAAUUGCGCAGAAUGGCGUAAAAGAAAAAUAAAAUGAAAGAAUUUAAAAUAUAAUUUUUAAGUUUAUAUCACGUGUCCUAUUAUAAUUGAAACUUAUUAUGGAAUUCACUAUUACUGACUUGAAGCUCGAGUAGGUUCAAGUUAUUGACCCACAACCCAAGUAGACUUAAAGGAAUUUGGGUCGGGCCCCACAAAGUGGGCAUAUUGGAGUUCGCACAUCCAAUUCGUAGGUAUGCUAGAGCUCGUAGGCCUAGCUUACAAGACAAGCCCGCACAUUGAGUUCACACGUCUCUAUAUGAUCGCAAGGAGAGGUGCUAAGUCAAGCACGUGGUCCAUGAACAUGUGUUAAGUCUAGAACAAGAUACGUGUUAACAUACAUGAAGCUUGUCUAAGACGUCAUUUCAGUGAGUGUGGUGCAAUAAGUGUGGUCAAACUUUCGAUUGACCAUAGUAGACACAAAGAGAAAAUACUCAACAAUUUGGUGCAGUGAGUGUGGUCAAACUUUCGAUUGACAGAUUUUUAGCUUGUAACAAUCAAAAUAGCUCACCCAAAUUAAAAUUUCCCCAUCAAUGUUUUGUCAGGAUAAGUUGCUAGUAUUAUAUUGUUGCUAGUAUUAUACAAAACAAAAAGUCAAAAAGUGAGAGAAAACCCAGUCAUCAGCACACCAAAACUCGUUAAGUCAAUCAUAGUUGCUAGUAUUAUAUUGUAUCUUCUUACAUCGAGAGAUAAGGUAGGUGAGAAAGGGAGAUAAAAGACGGUGAGCUUGGAUGGGACAUUAAGGGGGAAGAGAGGAAAAAAUGUUAUGUGUCUAAUUAUUUCUAGUGUUUGAACCGUUUUGAGUCAUAUCUAUCUUGGAACUCAUACCGUCCUAAGCCUUAGAACAUUACAAGCUUAGAAGACCAAUGUGUUUCCUAUGCAAUAAUAUCAACUAUGGCUUAGCAACAACUAAAUCAAGACAUAAACAAUAAGGCAAAUCUAAAAGGUAAAAAGGAAUAGCUAAUUAAAAGUAGUGUGUGAUUCAAAAGGUAGACGGUGAACUUAGGAUGUGGAGUUCCAAUAAAUACCUAAACUUUUGGCAAUUCAAAUAGUUUCUUUAUAAAAGUUUGUAAAUAUUUGAGUCUUAUUCGUAUUAAGAAAUACAUAAUUUUAAGCGGUCUAAUAAUGAAAAUAUUAUAUUAAGCUUUAGUAGAGUUUAAUUAUAUAUAUUAUAAGAAUAGUCUUCCGUGUAUUUAUCCAUUUAAUUUAAUUUUUUUAUUUUGGUCCCUUGGAACGGUUGGAACGGUGCGUUUAGGGGGUAUGUGGAUAAUUUCCUAGUUGGUCCCUGUCCAUUUUCACGCAUUUAAUUUUAGUCCUUUAUUCUGUUUUAUUGUUUAAUUUAUUUAUUUUAUUAUGAUUUAUACUUUUAAUUUCACUUAAAUUUUGAUUCAGUCCCUUAUUUAUUUAAUUUCAGCCUUUCAUGAAUUUUAUUUAUUUAUUACUUCUUUAUUUUCAUAUACUUAAAAAUUGGAUUGUUUACAUUCUUUUAUUUGUGCAUUUUUUUGCUCAUUUAUUUUAUUUACUUAAAAAGAUUGCAUAAAUUUAAUAACAAAAAGGAGAAUAAAAGAAAUGAAAUUAUACCUGUCAAUUUGUUACUCUGAAGAGAAAGCAUUUGAAGAGAAGUCAAGUUUCCAAUUACAAGAGGAAUUUCACCUGAAACAUAUAAUUAAAUCAGUAAAAAUUAUAAAUAUUUUCCUAGCAAAACCUUAAUUUAUUUGUUGAGCAUAUUAGUGUCCAUUUGAUUUAUUUAUUUUUAAAUAUGCAAGUUUUGUUUAAUUUUAUAGUACUUAUGACAACCCAAAAAUAUUUUAAUUACAAUACUCAAAUUGAUAGUUGAAAUGAUGAUGAAAAUUAGAUGGAAUAAAAUAGUUCACGCUUAAUAUUUUUUUUCAAAUAUAGGAUACAUUAGAGGUGAUUAUGGGUCGGGUUCGGGUCGGCUGACUAAGUCAAAAUUUUAGGCCCGUUUUCCCGAGCCCGAAAUAUGGGCCUAAAAAUUUGUCCAAGCCCAGCCCAAAAGAAAAUUGCUAAGCCGAGCCCGACCCUGCCUUGCCCAUAUUAAAUUUUACAACACCAAAAUAGCAUCAAAAACUUGCAAAAAAUAUAUAUAUUUUAUUAAAAAUAAAAAUAUAUAUUUAAUAUAUAAUUCGGGCCAGACUUGGGCCAAAAAAGUUUUACUCGAAGCCCGGCCCAUUUUCUAAAAUUUCCAAUUUCUGUAGGUAUACUUCCCUCCAAGGAGUUGCUCGACAAUGAUAAAAACUUCAAAUCUUUGCACUUGAAUAAACUAUUUGGAAUUCUACCGGAAAUUUGAUUCCAACUCAAGCCCAACCUUUCUAGUUUUGACAAAUUGCCUAGAGUAGAUGGGAUAACACCAAUGAAGUUGUUAAGGUACAGAGACAAUCUUUGAAGUUUACUAAAGCAACCAAACCAUGAUGGGAUUUCUCCAUUGAAGCUAUUGUUACCAAAGUCCAAAUACUUCAUCCGACGCAAAUUGGUUAACUCAAUGGGUAAAGAGCCAUGGAAACUAUUUUGAUGAAUGUCGAGCCAAGCAAGGAAAGAUAGAUUUCCCAAUUGAGAAGAAAUGGUGCCUGUGAGAUCCAUGCUUGAUAAAUUCAGAGCAGUGACUCUAUGGUGUCUAGAUCCACAUGUGACACCAAUCCAGCUACAAACGGAGGUAGAAGUAGACCAAUUGGUUGUCAAGAAAUUGUAAGGAUCAUGAGUUAUAUGAGAUUUGAGUGCUAGAAAAGCAGAUUGAUCAACGGUGAUGCUAGAAUAUUUUGCAGACAAAAUAACCCCAAAGGUUGCGAAUAGCAGCCCAAACAUAAACGGAGGGAGGAAGACGGUGAUAGUCUCCAAGAGAAAGAGACAAGCAAGGAGGGUGAAGGCAAAGUGGCAAACAAUACAUUCAUUACAUAUUUAUUGUUGCAUAUCUCAUUUUAUUUACUGUCACUAGACACUUUUUAUAUAUAUAAAUUAUUAAAUAUUAAAUUUCAUAUAUAAAAAAAAUCCACAUAUUACUUAUUUUAUUAAUACAUAAAAGUAAACCGUUUAGAUGAUUUCAAGUUAAAAAAACAAUAUAUUUUAGAUUUUAUGUGGAUUUUUUUAAGUUCAAUAUUCAAAUUAUUCAGAUUUUCAUCAUCAAAGUUGAAUAGUUUGUAAUUCAAAUUAUUGCUCUCUUUUUACUUGUACCAAUAUUUCCUAUAUUUUUCUUAUGUUAAAAUAGUCAAAGUAUUAAAUAUAUAAUUAAUUGGAGAGAAGUCAAAAGCUAAUUAAUAAUAUAUAGGGAUUGCAUAAAUGUAACAACAAAAAGAAAA
Molecule: long non-coding RNA, 19203 nt
Filed under: Gossypium barbadense (sea-island cotton)
Lineage: Eukaryota; Viridiplantae; Streptophyta; Magnoliopsida; Malvales; Malvaceae
Description: long non-coding RNA (GBAR_LNC023273)
Source: RNAcentral